AGAGUGAACGCUGGCGGCAGGCCUAAUACAUGCAAGUCGAACGGCAGCACGGCAGAGCUUGCUCUGUGGGUGGCGAGUGGCGGACGGGUGAGGAAUACAUGGGAAUCUGCCCAGUCGUGGGGGAUAACGUAUGGAAACGUACGCUAAUACCGCAUGCGCCCUUCGGGGGAAAGCCGGGGACCUUCGGGCCUGGCGCGAUUGGAUGAGCCCAUGUCGGAUUAGCUAGUUGGCGGGGUAACGCCCACCAAGGCGACGAUCCGUAGCUGGUCUGAGAGGAUGAUCAGCCACACUGGAACUGAGACACGGUCCAGACUCCUACGGGAGGCAGCAGUAGGGAACUAGUUGGACAAGUGGACGACAAGCCUGAUCCAGCCAUGCCGCGUGUGU
This 387-nucleotide ribosomal RNA is filed under the name uncultured soil bacterium. Its description in RNAcentral is "bacterial SSU rRNA". It matches the Rfam family "Bacterial small subunit ribosomal RNA", at positions 26 to 406 of the family's 1533-position model. The record is from RNAcentral.